GGAAAAAUAUAUCUGUCAUUUUUAUGUUUAUAUCAAGGUCUUUAUAUAUAUAUUAUAAUAAAAUUCCGUGAUUCAGUGUGGUUAAAUAAUAAGCCCGUGGAAACAAAAAGUGAAAUGAUAUUAUAUUUCAAUGAUAUGAAAAAUUGAACUCAAAUUUUUCGAGCAGCCGUACAAGUACAGAAAGAGCGGGAAAGAAGACCACGAUAUAAUAAAGUGCUCGACAAUGCAUUUAACAAUAAUUUUCCUGGUGUUCGCAGUAUUAUGGACGUCUACAAGCACCACAAUUGCCACAAAUUGCUAUGAAUGUGAGACCGUGUUACCAAAAGUUAAUGUAAAAAGACCGGAUUCGUGCGAAGGCGGGCAAUUUAAGAAAUAUAUGCCAAGGAAAGUCCGUUGUGAACAUGCAUGUCUUAAGGUGGCUGAUGAACAUCCAUCAUUCACGGUAUAUCGUCGAGGAUGCGCCACUAAAAAGGAAGCAGACAAUAUGGUUUGCAAAUAUAAAAGGAAGCUUUCUGAAGACUUAUUAAUAACAUGCACAUGCGACGAAGACCUAUGCAACCGAGCGUUGACGUUUAACGCCCCUAAACCUAUCCUAAAAUUUGUCUCAGUCGUUGUUGCAUUUUUUUAUAUUAUGUACAUUUAUAUGUAAGUUUACAUUUCCAUGGAAGAAUAUUUUUUUUUCUGUUGAAAUAAAUAAUAUAUAGACA
Long non-coding RNA from Plodia interpunctella (Indianmeal moth), 707 nucleotides. RefSeq lists it as uncharacterized. The transcript has 4 exons. The record is from RefSeq and is a predicted model, not a curated record. Lineage: Eukaryota; Metazoa; Arthropoda; Insecta; Lepidoptera; Pyralidae.